AAUCAACGCUGGCGGCGUGCCUCAGACAUGCAAGUCGAACGAUUAAGACUCCCUUCGGGGAGUGCAUAAAAGUGGCGCACGGGUGAGUAACACGUAAGUAAUCUACCCUCGGGUGGGGAAUAACGUCCGGAAACGGACGCUAAUACCGCAUAAUGCAGCGGCACCGCAAAGGUGACAGUUGUUAAAGAUUUAUUGCCUGGGGAGGAGCUUGCGGCAGAUUAGCUUGUUGGUAAGGAACGGCUUACCAAGGCUACGAUCUGUAUCCGGUCUAAGAGGACGGUCGGACACACUGACACUGAAUAACGGGUCAGACUCCUACGGGAGGCAGCAGUCGGGAAUUUUGGG
Molecule: ribosomal RNA, 345 nt
Filed under: uncultured bacterium
Lineage: Bacteria
Description: bacterial SSU rRNA
Rfam family: Bacterial small subunit ribosomal RNA
Source: RNAcentral